This 61-nucleotide transfer RNA is filed under the name Aeolothrips indicus. RNAcentral describes it as "tRNA-Ser". The record is from RNAcentral. Lineage: Eukaryota; Metazoa; Arthropoda; Insecta; Thysanoptera; Aeolothripidae.
GAAUGUAUUAUAAAAUAGAACUUCUAAUUCUACAAAAGCAAUUUUGACCUGCUUACAUUCU